GUCCGUUGGCAGAGGUGUGUGGGCGCAGGGGUCCGUUGCCAGAGGUGGGGGUCCGUUGCCAGAGGUGCCUGGGCCUAGGCUGUUCCCCGCACCCGCAGUCGUCGCUGCCGGGCCCCCGCCGGCUCACGGGCACCGGGAGCGCACGGGGGACACCCUGGGACACACGCACAGCGCCCACCCAGGGCCCGGGGGCCGCCCACCGAAACGCGACCGUCACUGGAAUUUCGGCAAAUUUACCCAGAAAUCGGCCUCCGGCCGGGAUAUAGAGGUCUCGCCGGGAGCGAGCGCCGCAGUCGACAAAAUUGUCAUUUCUAUCGGGAAAUCGGGCUCCUCCCGAGUAAAAACGGACAGGGGAUCGCAGUUUGCCCCGGCCGCCGGGAGUGCCCGUAGUGCCCCGCUACAGUGCCCCGACACUUACCUGUGCACUGGGGUCCGUUGGCAGAGGUAGGGGUCCGUUGGCAGAGGUGUGUGGG
This is a long non-coding RNA of Aplysia californica (California sea hare), 473 nucleotides long. RefSeq lists it as uncharacterized. The record is from RefSeq and is a predicted model, not a curated record. The transcript is spliced from 2 exons. Lineage: Eukaryota; Metazoa; Mollusca; Gastropoda; Aplysiida; Aplysiidae.